Molecule: ribosomal RNA, 394 nt
Filed under: uncultured bacterium
Lineage: Bacteria
Description: partial 16S ribosomal RNA
Rfam family: Bacterial small subunit ribosomal RNA
Source: RNAcentral
AUACGUAGGGAGCGAGCGUUGUCCGGAAUUACUGGGCGUAAAGGACGCGUAGGCGGCGCUUCAAGUCGUCUGUCAAAUGGGAGGGCUUAACCCUUUUUCGCAGACGAAACUGGAGAGCUUGAGAAGCAGAGAGGCAAACAGAAUUCCUGGUGUAGCGGUGAAAUGCGUAGAUAUCAGGAAGAAUACCAGUGGCGAAGGCGGUUUGCGGGCUGCAUACUGACGCUGAAGCGCGAAAGCCAGGGGAGCAAACGGGAUUAGAUACCCCGGUAGUCCUGGCAGUAAACGAUGUAUGCUGGGUGUGAGACUAGCGAUAGUUUCGUGCCGAAGUUAACGCGAUAAGCAUACCGCCUGGGGAGUACGGUCGCAAGAUUGAAACUCAAAGGAAUUGACGGGG